RNAcentral lists this ribosomal RNA (465 nucleotides) under uncultured bacterium. Its description in RNAcentral is "partial 16S ribosomal RNA". It matches the Rfam family "Bacterial small subunit ribosomal RNA", at positions 338 to 795 of the family's 1533-position model. The record is from RNAcentral.
CCUACGGGGUGCAGCAGUGGGGAAUUUUGGACAAUGGGCGCAAGCCUGAUCCAGCUAUUCCGCGUGUGGGAAGACGGCCUUCGGGUUGUAAACCACUUUUGUAGAGAACGAAAAGUCUGUUGAUAAUACCGAUAGAUGAUGACGGUACUCUAAGAAUAAGCACCGGCUAACUACGUGCCAGCAGCCGCGGUAAUACGUAGGGUGCGAGCGUUAAUCGGAAUUACUGGGCGUAAAGGGUGUGCAGGCGGUUUUGCAAGAUGGAUGUGAAAGCCCCGGGCUUAACCUGGGAAAGCCAUACAUGACUGCAAGACUAGAGUGCGUCAGAGGGGGGUGGAAUUCCAAGUGUAGCAGUGAAAUGCGUAGAUAUUUGGAAGAACACCGAUGGCGAAGGCAGCCCCCUGGGACGCAACUGACGCUCAUACACGAAAGCGUGGGGAGCAUACAGGAUUAGAUACCCCGGUAGUC